Molecule: ribosomal RNA, 21 nt
Filed under: Laminariocolax tomentosoides
Lineage: Eukaryota; Phaeophyceae; Ectocarpales; Chordariaceae
Description: partial 5.8S ribosomal RNA
Source: RNAcentral
AACUUUCAGCGACGGAUGUCU